Molecule: ribosomal RNA, 894 nt
Filed under: Vibrio sp.
Lineage: Bacteria; Pseudomonadati; Pseudomonadota; Gammaproteobacteria; Vibrionales; Vibrionaceae
Description: bacterial SSU rRNA
Rfam family: Bacterial small subunit ribosomal RNA
Source: RNAcentral
GGGGACCUUCGGGCCUCUCGCGUCAAGAUAUGCCUAGGUGGGAUUAGCUAGUUGGUGAGGUAAGGGCUCACCAAGGCGACGAUCCCUAGCUGGUCUGAGAGGAUGAUCAGCCACACUGGAACUGAGACACGGUCCAGACUCCUACGGGAGGCAGCAGUGGGGAAUAUUGCACAAUGGGCGCAAGCCUGAUGCAGCCAUGCCGCGUGUGUGAAGAAGGCCUUCGGGUUGUAAAGCACUUUCAGUCGUGAGGAAGGUAGUGUAGUUAAUAGCUGCAUUAUUUGACGUUAGCGACAGAAGAAGCACCGGCUAACUCCGUGCCAGCAGCCGCGGUAAUACGGAGGGUGCGAGCGUUAAUCGGAAUUACUGGGCGUAAAGCGCAUGCAGGUGGUUUGUUAAGUCAGAUGUGAAAGCCCGGGGCUCAACCUCGGAAUUGCAUUUGAAACUGGCAGACUAGAGUACUGUAGAGGGGGGUAGAAUUUCAGGUGUAGCGGUGAAAUGCGUAGAGAUCUGAAGGAAUACCGGUGGCGAAGGCGGCCCCCUGGACAGAUACUGACACUCAGAUGCGAAAGCGUGGGGAGCAAACAGGAUUAGAUACCCUGGUAGUCCACGCCGUAAACGAUGUCUACUUGGAGGUUGUGGCCUUGAGCCGUGGCUUUCGGAGCUAACGCGUUAAGUAGACCGCCUGGGGAGUACGGUCGCAAGAUUAAAACUCAAAUGAAUUGACGGGGGGCCCGCACAAGCGGUGGAGCAUGUGGUUUAAUUCGAUGCAACGCGAAGAACCUUACCUACUCUUGACAUCCAGAGAACUUUCCAGAGAUGGAUUGGUGCCUUCGGGAACUCUGAGACAGGUGCUGCAUGGCUGUCGUCAGCUCGUGUUGUGAAAUGUUGGGUUAA